Molecule: ribosomal RNA, 219 nt
Filed under: uncultured bacterium
Lineage: Bacteria
Description: partial 16S ribosomal RNA
Rfam family: Bacterial small subunit ribosomal RNA
Source: RNAcentral
AAUCGCUAAUGUACCCCGGACUCUGGGAUAGCCAUCCGAAAGGGUGGGUAAUUCCAGAUGACAUAUCCUGCUCGCAUGAGCGGGAUCUCAAAGGUCCGCCGGUCUGGGCGCAGGCGAUUUCGUAUCAGCUAGUUGGUGCGGGUAACGGCCCACCAAGGCGACGACGCGUAGCCGGACUGAGAGGUUGGCCGGCCACAUUGGGACUGAGACACUGCCCAG